CCAAAACAUUCGCAUUUGGUGGUUUGAUUCCGUGUGGUCGUGAAGUGUUUUGAUAAAAAAAUGCCGGCUUGCGUCUCUUACGGGUGUACUAAUCGUUCUGAUUGUAGUCUAAAGUUUAAACAAAUCACAUUUCAUUCUUUUCCUAUCAAUCCAACGCGAAGAGCUCUUUGGGUGAACGCUUUGAGAAGGAAAGAUUGGAAACCAACCAAGUACAGUAAAAUAUGUUCCCAGCAUUUCCGGGAGGAAGAUAUUGAUCGAACAUCAGUUUCGUCAGUCCGCAUUAGGGAAGAUGCUGUGCCAUCAAUUUUUUCCGCUUAUCCUGCUCACUUGCAAAAGAAAGAGCGGAAGAGACCACCACCAAAAGAAAGGCAGAUGGCUACAAAAAGCACUGCAGAUUUAGCCACCAAGACUG
Schistocerca serialis cubense is the source of this 412-nucleotide long non-coding RNA. RefSeq lists it as uncharacterized. The transcript has 3 exons. The record is from RefSeq and is a predicted model, not a curated record. Lineage: Eukaryota; Metazoa; Arthropoda; Insecta; Orthoptera; Acrididae.